GAUGAACGCUAGCGGCAGGCUUAACACAUGCAAGUCGAGGGGUAGGAGAAGCUUGCUUUUCUGAGACCGGCGCACGGGUGCGUAACGCGUAUGCAAUCUACCUUUCACAGAGGGAUAGCCCAGAGAAAUUUGGAUUAAUACCUCAUAGUAAUACGCCUUGGCAUCAAGAUGUAUUUAAAGAUUUAUCGGUGAAAGAUGAGCAUGCGUCCCAUUAGCUAGUUGGUAUGGUAACGGCAUACCAAGGCAACGAUGGGUAGGGGUCCUGAGAGGGAGAUCCCCCACACUGGUACUGAGACACGGACCAGACUCCUACGGGAGGCAGCAGUGAGGAAUAUUGGACAAUGGGCGCAAGCCUGAUCCAGCCAUGCCGCGUGCAGGAUGACGGUCCUAUGGAUUGUAAACUGCUUUUAUACAGGAAGAAACACUCCCUCGUGAGGGAGCUUGACGGUACUGUAAGAAUAAGGAUCGGCUAACUCCGUGCCAGCAGCCGCGGUAAUACGGAGGAUCCAAGCGUUAUCCGGAAUCAUUGGGUUUAAAGGGUCCGUAGGCGGUCAGGUAAGUCAGUGGUGAAAGCCCAUCGCUCAACGGUGGAACGGCCAUUGAUACUGUCUGACUUGAAUUAUUAGGAAGUAACUAGAAUAUGUAGUGUAGCGGUGAAAUGCUUAGAGAUUACAUGGAAUACCAAUUGCGAAGGCAGGUUACUACUAAUUGAUUGACGCUGAUGGACGAAAGCGUGGGUAGCGAACAGGAUUAGAUACCCUGGUAGUCCACGCCGUAAACGAUGGAUACUAGCUGUUGGGAGCAAUCUCAGUGGCUAAGCGAAAGUGAUAAGUAUCCCACCUGGGGAGUACGAACGCAAGUUUGAAACUCAAAGGAAUUGACGGGGGCCCGCACAAGCGGUGGAGCAUGUGGUUUAAUUCGAUGAUACGCGAGGAACCUUACCAAGGCUUAAAUGUAGUUUGACCGGUUGGAAACAG
Molecule: ribosomal RNA, 977 nt
Filed under: uncultured bacterium
Lineage: Bacteria
Description: bacterial SSU rRNA
Rfam family: Bacterial small subunit ribosomal RNA
Source: RNAcentral